GACGAACGCUGGCGGCGUGCUUAACACAUGCAAGUCGAACGGUAAGGCCCUUCGGGGUACACGAGUGGCGAACGGGUGAGUAACACGUGGGUGAUCUGCCCUGCACUUCGGGAUAAGCCUGGGAAACUGGGUCUAAUACCGGAUAGGACCACUGCCUGCAUGGGCGGUGGUGGAAAGCUUUUGCGGUGUGGGAUGGGCCCGCGGCCUAUGAGCUUGUUGGUGGGGUGAUGGCCUACCAAGGCGACGACGGGUAGCCGGCCUGAGGGGGUGACCGGCCACACUGGGACUGAGAUACGGCCCAGACUCCUACGGGAGGCAGCAGUGGGGAAUAUUGCACAAUGGGCGCAAGCCUGAUGCAGCGACGCCGCGUGAGGGAUGACGGCCUUCGGGUUGUAAACCUCUUUCAGCACCGACGAAGCGCAAGUGACGGUAGGUGCAGAAGAAGGACCGGCCAACUACGUGCCAGCCGCCGCAGUAA
This 478-nucleotide ribosomal RNA is filed under the name uncultured bacterium. RNAcentral's name for it is "partial 16S ribosomal RNA". It matches the Rfam family "Bacterial small subunit ribosomal RNA", at positions 28 to 523 of the family's 1533-position model. The record is from RNAcentral.